UUUCCGUAGGUGAACCUGCGGAAGGAUCAUUAAUGUGUUUGGGCCUCACGGCUCUUCAUUCCGACGCUGUGCGCCUUCGGGCUGCACGCUGAGGGAGCAUAUAUCCACCCCUGCGCACACACACGGUGGCGAGCUGGGUGACGGCUCGCCGCUGAUCUUUACACACGUCUAAAAGUCAUUGUAUGUUUAUUUGAGAUAAAAACACAACUUUCAGCAACGGAUCUCUUGGCUCUC
Molecule: unclassified non-coding RNA, 234 nt
Filed under: plant metagenome
Description: partial contains small subunit ribosomal RNA, internal transcribed spacer 1, and 5.8S ribosomal RNA
Source: RNAcentral